GGGCCCGCACAAGCAGCGGAGCGUGUUGCUUAAUUCGAUGCAACGCGAAGAACCUUACCAGGGUUUGACAUCCUGCGAAUCUCUUGGAAACGAGAGAGUGCCUUCGGGAGCGCAGUGACAGGUGGUGCAUGGCUGUCGUCAGCUCGUGUCGUGAGAUGUUGGGUUAAGUCCCGCAACGAGCGCAACCCACGUCUUUAGUUGCCAGCAUUUAGUUGGGCACUCUAGAGAGACCGCCGGUGAUAAACCGGAGGAAGGUGUGGAUGACGUCAAGUCAUCAUGCCCCUUACAUCCUGGGCUACACACGUACUACAAUGCUACGGACAAAGAGCAGCAAGUUCGCGAGGACAAGCAAAUCUCAUAAACCGUGGCUCAGUUCAGAUCGUAGGCUGCAACUCGCCUACGUGAAGGAGGAAUCGCUAG
Molecule: ribosomal RNA, 420 nt
Filed under: uncultured bacterium
Lineage: Bacteria
Description: bacterial SSU rRNA
Rfam family: Bacterial small subunit ribosomal RNA
Source: RNAcentral